GUUUAACUGAAAAGAUAAACUUCAAAUGUUGGUAUAUGUAUAUGUGUUUAUUCAAAUUCUGGUAAACCAACUUGGAAUCGAGAAUGGGGCUAUUCCCAUAUAGCGAGUAUUCCUUAAAGAAAGCUCGUAAAUUAAAUUGGUUACAUUAUAAUGCUGGCCGAAAUUGAAUUCAAACAAAGGCAAAUGUAUUAUUGACAAGAGCCGUAUGGCAACAGUUAGUUAUUCUUCGACACUUCGACGACAAAGGAAUGGUUUUAAAAGGGAACUCUCGACUUCAGGCUGUAUUUUAACAUUGGUGUACUAUUUUCUUCGCCUACUGUUUAAAGGAUUCUGUACAAAGAACAAGAAAAAUUUCGAACGUUUCUCGAUAAUAUUCUGCUAUCCCGUUGUUUAUUUAUUACGGCUUGUUAACGCAAUUAAAUGGAGGCGAAUUUUCAGGCCGAGCAGAAUGAAGAAAUAUUUAAAGAGGAUUAUUAAUGUGCUAGCUUUCAAAACUUUAAAAAUAGCGAAACAGAAUGGUAAAUUAUGUAAGACUAGACUCUGGAAAGAUUUUCGAAUUUGGAAGCGCGGACGGACGAAAGAUUAUUCUCAUGGAAAGAGUUCAUAUAAAAUGGAAUUUGAUGUUAGAAAUGUAUAAUUAAUCGAGGUGACUGACGAUAGCUUAGCUUUCUAACCACCCCCGUCCCCCCAAUGUUGAAAGUGUUAGGGUACACACGUGACAAUCUCACAACUCGUCAACAAGAUGUGUUCGCAACAGGCUUGUAGAAAGCUUGUCAACAAAUUGUAAUAAUGCUAUUAUUUUAUCAAGUUGCUACAAGGUUGUCACUCAGAUCUUGCUGACAAAUUGUCGAAUUGCUGGACGGUAACAAGUUGCUGGAACAACUUGUAACAAGUCUGUUCAGCUCAACAACCUUGUAACAAGUUGUCAAUAAGCCGUUAACAAAUUGUCAUCAAGCUGGGAACAAGCAGUGCGAACACAUCCUGUUGACAAGUUGUUGGAACAGCAUUGCUACAAGUCUGCUGCAGGUUUGUUACAACUUGUGCGUUUUUACGUGUGUAAUCAAAUGAUUUUGUUUAUCUUACUUGUCAAGGACUCGGAUGAUUUCCUCUUUAUUAUCUGAGAGUCCAAAGUAAACCACGAGAGACGAGUUUAGCUCGUACGCCUGCAAGUGGAUUGUAAAAUUAAGCAAACAAGUUGUAACAAGAUUGUUGUGAAGCCGAUAUCAGGAUGUGUUCGCACUGCUUGUUCCCAGUUGUUGUGACAAGUCUGGAACAAGUUGUUAUCAUCUUGUUACAAGGUUGAUGACGGUAACAGACUUGCUACAAGUUGUUCCAACAAGACUAAUACAGGCUGUUCCUAAAGGCCUGAUUCCACAAGGCGGAAUAUUUCGACCGAAACGAAAUUUCUUUUUGUCUUUUUACAAUUAGUUCUGCUCGAGAGCUCAUGAAACAAAGAGAAAUUUCGAUUCGGUCGAAAAAAAAUUUCGCCUAGUGGAAAACCGCCUUUUAAGGAGUGGAAAACCGCCUUAAUAGGCGAAAUUUUUCGAUCGAACGGAAAUUUCUAUUGUUCAAAUUCAAAAGAUUUCUGUUUAGUUCCAUCUGAGUGCUCGUAAGACAAAAGAAAAUUUCGAUUCGGUCGAAAAAUUCCGCUUAGUGGAAAAACGCCUUAACAAGUUGCUACGAGCUUGUUGUCAUCAACUUAGACCCCGUUUACACGGUACCGGACGAAUUUGUGACCGGACGAAAAUUCGUCCGUUUCGUCCGUGUAAACACACGAGAACCACGAAACCUGACGAAUUUGAGACCCCCUAACAGGACGAAUUCGCGUGUAAACAGGCGAAAAAGGACGAAUUUUCGUCCGGUCCCAAAUUCGUCCGGUACCGUGUAAACGGGGUCUUAUUAACAACUUGUUACGUGCAGACGAUAUCAGACUUGUUGGAACAACUUGUUGCGAGUCUGUUGGCCUCGUCAACCUUGUUACAAGAUGAUAACAACUUAUUCCAGACUUGUCAACAAUUGGGAACAAGCAGUGCGAACACAUCUUGUUGACAAGCUGUGAGAUUUUUAAGGUGUAGCCUUAAGGAAGACAAUCAAACAUUGCAGACCAAACCAUUCUCGUCCCCAGAGCCAUUGAAAAUUCGUUGAAAAUUAGGCUCUGGGUUAGACGACCGAAGGGAGAGAUCUAAUUGGCUUCUCAGAGAACUGCUAUUUCGCAGAAGUUGAGAAAUUUUCGCUAGAAAAGAUUUUUCUAUCAAAAUAUGUCAACACAAAUACUUGGUUCCUUCGUAAUACUUGUCUGUGAAAAUUAUUACGGUUGCUGAAGCGUCCCAAUUCAAGAGCAUGCGCUUUAGAAACUACUGCAAGUUUUCUUGCGCUUCCGGUUCCGUGUAUUCCAGGGCCUAUGGAGUUCGCGCGCGGUCGUGAGGCCCUGAGAACGAGGAUGAGACCAAACUAAGCAGUCUUGUACCCAGUUCAUUCCGCGCCAUCGAUUGUCCCAUCAGACUUUCGUUUCAUCGAAAUGAAAGCACGAUAUCAUGACAGCGUUAUAAUGAAAGGAAAUGUGUGGGAUGAAAGAGUAAUAAAGUAUAAAUGAGAUUAAAUGUAUAGCACUGUCAUAACUAUCAAACAAUUAUAAAU
RNAcentral lists this long non-coding RNA (2637 nucleotides) under Paramuricea clavata. Lineage: Eukaryota; Metazoa; Cnidaria; Anthozoa; Malacalcyonacea; Plexauridae. The record is from RNAcentral.